This 498-nucleotide ribosomal RNA is filed under the name uncultured bacterium. RNAcentral describes it as "partial 16S ribosomal RNA". It matches the Rfam family "Bacterial small subunit ribosomal RNA", at positions 29 to 523 of the family's 1533-position model. The record is from RNAcentral.
AUUGAACGCUGGCGGAAUGCUUUACACAUGCAAGUCGAGCGGCAGCGCGGGGCAACCUGGCGGCGAGCGGCGAACGGGUGAGUAAUACAUCGGAACGUACCCAGUUGUGGGGGAUAGCCCGGCGAAAGCCGGAUUAAUACCGCAUACGACCGGAGGGUGAAAGGGGGGGAUCGCAAGACCUCUCGCAGUUGGAGCGGCCGAUGGCGGAUUAGCUAGUUGGUGGGGUAAAGGCCUACCAAGGCGACGAUCCGUAGCGGGUCUGAGAGGAGGACCCGCCACACUGGAACUGAGAAACGGUCCAGACUCCUACGGGAGGCAGCAGUGGGGAAUUUUGGACAAUGGGGGAAACCCUGAUCCAGCCAUUCCGCGUGAGUGAAGAAGGCCUUCGGGUUGUAAAGCUCUUUCGGCAGGAACGAAACGGUGGCCCCUAACACGGGUUGCUAAUGACGGUACCUGAAGAAGAAGCACCGGCUAACUACGUGCCAGCCGCCGCCGUAA